Molecule: ribosomal RNA, 495 nt
Filed under: uncultured bacterium
Lineage: Bacteria
Description: partial 16S ribosomal RNA
Rfam family: Bacterial small subunit ribosomal RNA
Source: RNAcentral
GAUGAACGCUAGCGGGAGGCCUAACCCAUGCAAGCCGAGCGGUAGAAUGUUUUCGGAGACUUGAGAGCGGCGUACGGGUGAGGAACACGUGUGCAACCUGCCUUUAUCUGGGAGAUAGCCUUUCGAAAGGUAGAAUAAUAUCCCCUAGUAUAUUGCGUGGCAUCACUUAAUAUGGAAAGAUCCGGCGGACAGUGAUGGGCACGCGCAAGAUUAGAUAGUUGGUGAGGUAACGGCUCACCAAGUCUACGAUCUUGAGGGGGCCUGAGAGGGUGAUCCCCCACACUGGUACUGAGACACGGACCAGACUCCUACGGGAGGCAGCAGUGAGGAAUAUUGGACAAUGGGUGCAAGCCUGAUCCAGCCAUCCCGCGUGAAGGAUUAAGGUCCUAUGGAUUGUAAACUUCUUUUAUACAGGGAUAAACCUCUCCUCGUGAGGAGAGCUGAAGGUACUGUAUGAAUAAGCACCGGCUAACUCCGUGCCAGCCGCCGCAGUAA